This 274-nucleotide ribosomal RNA is filed under the name uncultured bacterium. Its description in RNAcentral is "partial 16S ribosomal RNA". It matches the Rfam family "Bacterial small subunit ribosomal RNA", at positions 523 to 796 of the family's 1533-position model. The record is from RNAcentral.
AUACGGAGGGAGCGAGCGUUAAUCGGAAUUACUGGGCGUAAAGGGUACGUAGGCGGUUUGUUAAGUUGGAUGUGAAAGCCCAGGGCUCAACCUUGGAACUGCAUUCGAUACUGGCAAGCUAGAGUACGAUAGAGGGUGGUAGAAUUUCUUGUGUAGCGGUGAAAUGCGUAGAUAUAAGAAGGAAUACCAGUGGCGAAGGCGGCCACCUGGAUCGAUACUGACGCUGAGGUGCGAAAGCGUGGGGAGCAAACGGGAUUAGAUACCCCAGUAGUCC